Pseudopodoces humilis (Tibetan ground-tit) is the source of this 338-nucleotide long non-coding RNA. RefSeq lists it as uncharacterized. Lineage: Eukaryota; Metazoa; Chordata; Aves; Passeriformes; Paridae. The record is from RefSeq and is a predicted model, not a curated record.
UCAGGCUGCUCUCUGGGAUGGAUGAUGGUUCUGGCCUUGCUGAUUCAUCCAGCCCUGGCUGAGGAUCUUUCUGGAAGCAUCUCCCGUGCCCAGUGUCUGCUGAGAACUUGAAGAAAAUAUUGAACAGGACGAGAGGAAGGAUCACAGUGGAAUAUUCUGAACUUCCCAGCUGACACACGCUGUGAUGCUGAAUCCUCUAUUCCAACCACACACGUUUCACAUUUAUUUCAAAUGUGGUUUAAAACGGAGGAGGGGGAGAGGCCAUAAAUAUUCUCUCCCAGUGCUGUUUCCUGAGCCUGGGAAUACCCAAAGGAAUGGGACGGGCUCUGUGGGACAGA